Molecule: ribosomal RNA, 105 nt
Filed under: Ileibacterium valens
Lineage: Bacteria; Bacillati; Bacillota; Erysipelotrichia; Erysipelotrichales; Erysipelotrichaceae
Also listed under: 2 other names
Source: RNAcentral
UCUGGUGAUGAUGGAAACAUGGAAACACCUGGUCACAUUUCGAACCCAGAAGUUAAGCAUGUUCUCGGCGACGAUAGUGUAAGCGAAAAUAGCAUGUUGCCAGGC